UCAUCAACAACACACUAACCCAGAAAAAAUAAUCUUUUUCAUCAUCUUUAUCAAAUCUAUAAACAUAAUCAAUUUCAUAACUCAAUCAACAACCAAUUUGUUCACUAAAAAAAUCACUUUAAUUUACCAAACAAUAUUUUUUUUUUAAAUCCAAAUCCAAAACCACAACACUGCUAUGCUUCUCUAAAGAUAUCAAUGAACUAAUACCUUCACCUUAUAACUACUCAUCCAAUCGUAAAAUUUCAGCUUUCAACUGUUCAAUCUUAAGAUCCAUGGAUCUCUGCAAAUAACCUUUCUUCUUUCUCCUUCUACUACUUGACCCAUUACUGCAAUUUCCUAGAUUUGGCUAGGAUCGAGUAAAGAGGAAUUGAUAGAGGGAGAGAGGUCGAGUGGAAUUAGAAGGGUGUAUACAUCAUCAAAAUUUCUUAGAGGCUUGUUGCUUCUGUUAACCCAUAUUGUUUCCAUCCCUGGAUUUUUUUUCUUUUUCAAUAUGUUGCUUCAAUUCAUUCACUCUGGUUUUAUGGGUUUCUUUGUCAACCCUAAUUCUUUAAGCUCAUUUUACUCUUCAAUUGAUGCAUGAUUUUCAAAAUUGAUGGAUGCAUUUUGGUUCUACAUGGCUACAAUUGAGAUAGUGAGUGAGACUUUGUUGUUGGAAUAGAAAUGAGGAAGAAGGAAUUAGUGAGGUGGAGAGGUAAAGGGGUGUUUGUGCUUGUUGGUGACUCUUAGAAGGAGAGGUCACAGAUGAAUAAUGAAGUUGGGAUUCCUUCAAAAUUAUCACUGUAGAUUUUGGAUUGAAAAAAAUUUGUGGUGAGUAGAUAUGAAGAUUUUGGAUGAUUUGGUUUAGAGAGAUUGAUAAAUUGUGUUGUUUAGAUUGAAA
Molecule: long non-coding RNA, 877 nt
Filed under: Medicago truncatula (barrel medic)
Lineage: Eukaryota; Viridiplantae; Streptophyta; Magnoliopsida; Fabales; Fabaceae
Description: long non-coding RNA (MTRU_LNC001671)
Source: RNAcentral